UACGUAGGCAGCGAGCGUUGUUCGGAAUUACUGGGCGUAAAGAGUGUGUAGGCGGCGCUCUAAGUUCGGUGUGAAAUCUCUCGGCUUAACUGGGAGGGUGCGCCGGAAACUGGAGUGCUCGAACGUGGGAGAGGAAAGCGGAAUUCCUGGUGUAGCGGUGAAAUGCGUAGAUAUCAGGAGGAACACCGGUGGCGAAAGCGCUUGUCUGGCCCAAUACUGACGCUGAGGCGCGAAAGCUAGGGGAGCAAACGGG
This 253-nucleotide ribosomal RNA is filed under the name uncultured bacterium. RNAcentral's name for it is "partial 16S ribosomal RNA". It matches the Rfam family "Bacterial small subunit ribosomal RNA", at positions 524 to 776 of the family's 1533-position model. The record is from RNAcentral.